GAUGAACGCUGGCGGCGUGCCUAACACAUGCAAGUCGAGCGAACGCACGAUAAGCUUGUUUCUCUGAUGUUAGCGGCGGACGGGCGAGUAACACGUGGAUAACCUACCUAUAAGACUGGGAUAACUUCGGGAAACCGGAGCUAAUACCGGAUAAUAUUUUGAACCGCAUGGUUCAAAAGUGAAAGACGGUCUUGCUGUCACUUAUAGAUGGAUCCGCGCUGCAUUAGCUAGUUGGUAAGGUAACGGCUUACCAAGGCAACGAUGCAUAGCCGACCUGAGAGGAUGAUCAGCCACACUGGAACUGAGACACGGUCCAGACUAAUACGGGAGGCAGCAGUGGGGAAUCUUCCGCAAGGGGCGGAAGCCUGACGUAGCAACGCCGCGUGGGGGAUGAAGGUCUUCGGAUCGUAAAUCUCUGUUGUUAGGAAAGAACAUAAGUGUGAGUAUCUGGGCACAUCUUGACGGUACCUAAUGAAUAAGCCCCGGCUAACUACGUG
This 497-nucleotide ribosomal RNA is filed under the name uncultured bacterium. Its description in RNAcentral is "partial 16S ribosomal RNA". It matches the Rfam family "Bacterial small subunit ribosomal RNA", at positions 28 to 507 of the family's 1533-position model. The record is from RNAcentral.